UAAACACUAGAUAGAUAUAAAUCGAUCUUGCAAGAAAAUCAAUUUUGUCAUCAAUAGGAUCAACUAGUGUUGGUACUUAUGCUUACCAAAUAUAUUAUUUCUAAAUUUAAAGCUAAGUAUCAAUACUACAUGGACACAAACACAUUAUUGAAAACAAUUGUACUUGAACUUUAGAAAUUUAGAAGCACCAACCUUAUCUCCAACUUUGAUGAAAGAAGCAAAAUAAACUUGUAUCAACUUUUUUACAUGUUGAGCUUCCUCAGUUGCCUAGCACGAAAAGUUCUUAAAUUAGUUAAAUAUAAACUUCAUAUCCAAGAAUAUUAGUUCAAGUUCAAGUCUAAAUUCAAGUUGUCAAUUCAAGUUCAUAUCUAAGUUCUAAA
Molecule: long non-coding RNA, 380 nt
Filed under: Solanum tuberosum (potato)
Lineage: Eukaryota; Viridiplantae; Streptophyta; Magnoliopsida; Solanales; Solanaceae
Description: long non-coding RNA (STUB_LNC002550)
Source: RNAcentral